This 49-nucleotide ribosomal RNA is filed under the name Eimeria cf. ictidea JRB-2016. RNAcentral describes it as "large subunit ribosomal RNA". Lineage: Eukaryota; Apicomplexa; Conoidasida; Eucoccidiorida; Eimeriidae. The record is from RNAcentral.
CCUGAAAAGUUGGUACAGAUGGAUAUAAUUUGGUAGUGGAACAUUUGAA